RNAcentral lists this transfer RNA (71 nucleotides) under Stegodyphus mimosarum. It matches the Rfam family "tRNA". Rfam says of the family: Transfer RNA (tRNA) molecules are approximately 80 nucleotides in length. Their secondary structure includes four short double-helical elements and three loops (D, anti-codon, and T loops). Further hydrogen bonds mediate the characteristic L-shaped molecular structure. tRNAs have two regions of fundamental functional importance: the anti-codon, which is responsible for specific mRNA codon recognition, and the 3' end, to which the tRNAs corresponding amino acid is attached (by aminoacyl-tRNA synthetases). tRNAs cope with the degeneracy of the genetic code in two manners: having more than one tRNA (with a specific anti-codon) for a particular amino acid; and 'wobble' base-pairing, i.e. permitting non-standard base-pairing at the 3rd anti-codon position. Lineage: Eukaryota; Metazoa; Arthropoda; Arachnida; Araneae; Eresidae. The record is from Rfam by way of RNAcentral.
GCCUUUGUAGUGUAACGGUAGCACACUCGGAGCGUAAUCGAGAGGUCCAGGUUCGAAUCAUGGUGACGGCA